This 301-nucleotide ribosomal RNA is filed under the name uncultured bacterium. Its description in RNAcentral is "partial 16S ribosomal RNA". It matches the Rfam family "Bacterial small subunit ribosomal RNA", at positions 509 to 807 of the family's 1533-position model. The record is from RNAcentral.
CAGCAGCCACGGUAAUACGAAGGGGGCUAGCGUUGUUCGGAAUUACUGGGCGUAAAGCGCACGUAGGCGGACAUUUAAGUCAGGGGUGAAAUCCCGGGGCUCAACCCCGGAACUGCCUUUGAUACUGGGUGUCUAGAGUAUGGAAGAGGUGAGUGGAAUUCCGAGUGUAGAGGUGAAAUUCGUAGAUAUUCGGAGGAACACCAGUGGCGAAGGCGGCUCACUGGUCCAUUACUGACGCUGAGGUGCGAAAGCGUGGGGAGCAAACAGGAUUAGAGACCCCCGUAGUCCCUGUCUCUUAUAC